RNAcentral lists this ribosomal RNA (468 nucleotides) under uncultured bacterium. RNAcentral's name for it is "partial 16S ribosomal RNA". It matches the Rfam family "Bacterial small subunit ribosomal RNA", at positions 28 to 507 of the family's 1533-position model. The record is from RNAcentral.
GACGAACGCUGGCGGCGUGCUUAACACAUGCAAGUCGAACGGAAAGGCCCUGCUUUUGUGGGGUGCUCGAGUGGCGAACGGGUGAGUAACACGUGAGUAACCUGCCCUUGACUUUGGGAUAACUUCAGGAAACUGGGGCUAAUACCGGAUAGGAGCUCCUGCUGCAUGGUGGGGGUUGGAAAGUUUCGGCGGUUGGGGAUGGACUCGCGGCUUAUCAGCUUGUUGGUGGGGUAGUGGCUUACCAAGGCUUUGACGGGUAGCCGGCCUGAGAGGGUGACCGGCCACAUUGGGACGGAGAUACGCCCCGGACCCCUCCGGGGGGCAGAGGGGGGGAAUUUUGCAAAAGGGGGGGAGGCUGUAUGCAGCACCCCCGCGGGCGGGAGGCCGGCUUGCGGUUUGUAAACCGCUUCCGCCUGGAACGAAGGGUGAGUGACGUUAAUGGGUAAAAAACCCCCGGCUAACUACGUC